Molecule: ribosomal RNA, 253 nt
Filed under: uncultured bacterium
Lineage: Bacteria
Description: partial 16S ribosomal RNA
Rfam family: Bacterial small subunit ribosomal RNA
Source: RNAcentral
CGGACGGGUGAGUAAUGUCUGGGAAACUGCCUGAUGGAGGGGGAUAACUACUGGAAACGGUAGCUAAUACCGCAUAACGUCGCAAGACCAAAGAGGGGGACCUUCGGGCCUCUUGCCAUCAGAUGUGCCCAGAUGGGAUUAGCUAGUAGGUGGGGUAACGGCUCACCUAGGCGACAAUCCCUAGCUGGUCUGAGAGGAUGACCAGCCACACUGGAACUGAGACACGGUCCAGACUCCUACGGGAGGCAGCAUG